RNAcentral lists this ribosomal RNA (505 nucleotides) under uncultured bacterium. RNAcentral describes it as "partial 16S ribosomal RNA". It matches the Rfam family "Bacterial small subunit ribosomal RNA", at positions 28 to 507 of the family's 1533-position model. The record is from RNAcentral.
GACGAACGCUGGCGGCGUGCCUAAUACAUGCAAGUAGAACGCACAGUUUAUACCGUAGCUUGCUACACCAUAGACUGUGAGUUGCGAACGGGUGAGUAACGCGUAGGUAACCUGCCUGGUAGCGGGGGAUAACUAUUGGAAACGAUAGCUAAUACCGCAUAAUAUUAAUUAUUGCAUGAUAAUUGAUUGAAAGAUGCAACUGCAUCACUACCAGAUGGACCUGCGUUGUAUUAGCUAGUAGGUGAGGUAACGGCUCACCUAGGCGACGAUACAUAGCCGACCUGAGAGGGUGAUCGGCCACACUGGGACUGAGACACGGCCCAGACUCCUACGGGAGGCAGCAGUAGGGAAUCUUCGGCAAUGGACGAAAGUCUGACCGAGCAACGCCGCGUGAGUGAAGAAGGUUUUCGGAUCGUAAAGCUCUGUUGUAAGAGAAGAACGGGUGUGAGAGUGGAAAGUUCGCACUGUGACGGUAUCUUACCAGAAAGGGACGGCUAACUACGUG